CGCUGGCGGCGUGCCUAAUACAUGCAAGUCGAACGCUUCUUUCCUCCCGAGUGCUUGCACUCAAUUGGAAAGAGGAGUGGCGGACGGGUGAGUAACACGUGGGUAACCUACCCAUCAGAGGGGGAUAACACUUGGAAACAGGUGCUAAUACCGCAUAACAGUUUAUGCCGCAUGGCAUAAGAGUGAAAGGCGCUUUCGGGUGUCGCUGAUGGAUGGACCCGCGGUGCAUUAGCUAGUUGGUGAGGUAACGGCUCACCAAGGCCACGAUGCAUAGCCGACCUGAGAGGGUGAUCGGCCACACUGGGACUGAGACACGGCCCAGACUCCUACGGGAGGCAGCAGUAGGGAAUCUUCGGCAAUGGACGAAAGUCUGACCGAGCAACGCCGCGUGAGUGAAGAAGGUUUUCGGAUCGUAAAACUCUGUUGUUAGAGAAGAACAAGGACGUUAGUAACUGAACGUCCCCUGACGGUAUCUAACCAGAAAGCCACGGCUAACUACGUGCCAGCAGCCGCGGUAAUACGUAGGUGGCAAGCGUUGUCCGGAUUUAUUGGGCGUAAAGCGAGCGCAGGCGGCUUCUUAAGUCUGAUGUGAAAGCCCCCGGCUCAACCGGGGAGGGUCAUUGGAAACUGGGAGACUUGAGUGCAGAAGAGGAGAGUGGAAUUCCAUGUGUAGCGGUGAAAUGCGUAGAUAUAUGGAGGAACACCAGUGGCGAAGGCGGCU
This 721-nucleotide ribosomal RNA is filed under the name uncultured Enterococcus sp. RNAcentral describes it as "bacterial SSU rRNA". It matches the Rfam family "Bacterial small subunit ribosomal RNA", at positions 34 to 726 of the family's 1533-position model. Lineage: Bacteria; Bacillati; Bacillota; Bacilli; Lactobacillales; Enterococcaceae. The record is from RNAcentral.